UACGUAGGUGGCGAGCGUUGUCCGGAUUUACUGGGCGUAAAGGGAGCGUAGGCGGACUUUUAAGUGAGAUGUGAAAUACCCGGGCUCAACUUGGGUGCUGCAUUUCAAACUGGAAGUCUAGAGUGCAGGAUAUGAGAAUGGAAUUCCUAGUGUAGCGGUGAAAUGCGUAGAGAUUAGGAAGAACACCAGUGGCGAAGGCGAUUCUCUGGACUGUAACUGACGCUGAGGCUCGAAAGCGUGGGGAGCAAACAGGAUUAGAUACCCCCGUA
RNAcentral lists this ribosomal RNA (269 nucleotides) under uncultured prokaryote. RNAcentral describes it as "partial 16S ribosomal RNA". It matches the Rfam family "Bacterial small subunit ribosomal RNA", at positions 524 to 792 of the family's 1533-position model. The record is from RNAcentral.